RNAcentral lists this ribosomal RNA (471 nucleotides) under Sistotrema brinkmannii. Its description in RNAcentral is "partial small subunit ribosomal RNA". It matches the Rfam family "Bacterial small subunit ribosomal RNA", at positions 413 to 931 of the family's 1533-position model. Lineage: Eukaryota; Fungi; Basidiomycota; Agaricomycetes; Cantharellales; Hydnaceae. The record is from RNAcentral.
GCUCGCAAGAGUGAACGAGCUAACUGAAAGAAUACAAAAUCUAACCUAAGGGCACAAAUGAUAUAUCCUUAGUAACAGUGUCGUCCAAAAUCUGGUGCCAGCAGACUCGGUAAUACCAGAGACGCGAACGUUAGUCAUCUUAAAUUGGCAUAAAGGGUGCGCAGGCAGCUUUAAAUAAUUGAAGCUAGAAUCUAAUAGAGGUUGAUUAAAUGCUUAGUGGAGAGAUGAUAUUCUUAAAUACUAAGUGGAAAACUAAAGGCGGAGGCCGUCUUCCAUUAAAGAUUGACGCUAAGGCACGAAAGUUGGGAUAGGAAAAAAGAUUAGAGACCUUUGUACCCCCAACCGUAAACGAUGAAUGUAAGAUGCUCUAGUUAUAACUUGGGUAUCGAAGUGAAAGACGAUAAACAUUCCGCCUUGCCAGUAUACUUGCAAAAGUGAAAACAAAAAAAUUAGUCGGUUCUAAAGCAAACG